This 84-nucleotide transfer RNA is filed under the name bacterium. Its description in RNAcentral is "tRNA-Leu". It matches the Rfam family "tRNA". From Rfam's summary of the family: Transfer RNA (tRNA) molecules are approximately 80 nucleotides in length. The record is from RNAcentral.
GCCGAGGUGGCGGAAUUGGUAGACGCGCUAGCUUCAGGAGCUAGUAACCGCAAGGUUGUAGGAGUUCGAGUCUCCUCCCCGGCA